UUAGUUAAAAAGUCACUAGGUAGGGUUGAGCAACAUAAGAGUCCAAACAGCAUAGACAGGGUGUCAAAGCCCAACCAGGAUAGGGAGGGGUAAGGGAGUAGCGGGGAGGAUAACAGCCCAGCAAAGAGGGUCAAAGCUUAGAAGAGUAAAAAGGUCCUCAGGACCUGAGCAUGGUAGGAAGUCUCCUGUGAAGGGCAACUGAGUACAGGGUGUUGAAGCCAAGACGUGAUGAAGAGAGUGUUGAACACAGGAACACUGAUUAAAAAGGGUUGGGAAACUAGUUUGCAUGGCCAAACCUAGCCCACCAUCUGUUUUGUUUCCUGCUGUUCCCAGCCUGCACUAUGGACUUCAUCAGAUUUCAGCAUUAGAGAGAAUAUGGAAGGACAUCAACCUAACUUCAUCCAGUGAGGAUUUCCACACACCAUACACUCUCUGAGAGUUCUCCUGGCUUUGUGUGCACACCACCAGUGACAGGGAGCUCGCUAUGUCAUGAGGCAGCCUGCUCCCUUGUGGCUAUCACUGACCCAACUAUUAAGCCUUCUUAUACGGACAGUCCCUGACUUGCCAUUAGACUUACGACUUUUUGAUUUUACACUGGUGCAAAAACAAUAUGCAUUCAGUAGAAACUGUAUUUCAAAUUUUGAAUUUUGAUCUUUUCCCAGGCUAGCAACAUAUGAAGGCCAACCUUUUGUUUUUAAAAUAGGCUGUGUGUUAGAUGCUUUUGCCCAACUAUAGGUUAAUGUAAAUGUUCUGAGAAUAUUUAAGGAAGGCUAGGCUAAACUGUGAUCUUUGGGAGCUUAGAUAUGUUAAGUGCAUUUUCGACUUACAAUAUUUUCAACUUACGAUGAGUUUAUUGGGAUGAAGCCCAUUGUAAAUAAAGGAACAUCUGCAUUAAGCUAAAAUUCAUGUCUAUAACUUCGUCAGUAAUAUCAAGUCUGUUCCUCAGAGCCAGAGAAUAAACUGAAUCAUUUUCCACAUGAUGGUCUUUCAGCUGUUUAAAGAGAUCAGCCAUGUACCUUCUCCCAAGCUGAAGACAACUCCUCACCAGGCUACCUUUCAAUUCUACCUUUUUUUAAAAAGAGAUGGGGUCUCA
Long non-coding RNA from Cercocebus atys (sooty mangabey), 1093 nucleotides. RefSeq lists it as uncharacterized. The record is from RefSeq and is a predicted model, not a curated record. NCBI's taxonomy places the organism in Eukaryota, Metazoa, Chordata, Mammalia, Primates, Cercopithecidae. The transcript has 3 exons.